Molecule: ribosomal RNA, 253 nt
Filed under: uncultured bacterium
Lineage: Bacteria
Description: partial 16S ribosomal RNA
Rfam family: Bacterial small subunit ribosomal RNA
Source: RNAcentral
UACGGAGGGUGCGAGCGUUGUUCGGAAUCACUGGGCGUAAAGGGCGCGUAGGCGGCUCGGGAAGUCCGUGGUGAAAGCCCGAGGCUCAACUUCGGGUCGGCCAUGGAUACUCCUAAGCUCGAGUCGACUAGAGGCUAAUGGAAUUCCGGGUGUAGCGGUGGAAUGCGUAGAGAUCCGGAAGAACACCGGUGGCGAAGGCGGUUAGCUGGGGUCGGACUGACGCUGAGGCGCGAAAGCGUGGGGAGCAAACAGG